CUCUCCUUAACCAUGAGGAAUGGGAACUAUUUUGAUGCAUCGCAAAUCUGAGGGUAUAAAGUUGAUGGACCAGCAGUUGUUAACUGCAUGCAAAAGAAUACUGAGGCUUCCUCCAGACAGCGCUCUGAGCAUGUCAUACUUGACUCCAUCACAACCUGCAACAGUAGCUCUCUUUCUGGAAUGUAAAACAUACAUUAGCUCAUGCAAUGAAAAGGGUGUGUUGCUGAGACUCCUAAAAGUAAUUGAAGCACAACCGCUUAAUUUUCGACUAGAAUGUCGAUGACCAUU
Molecule: long non-coding RNA, 288 nt
Organism: Glossina fuscipes
Lineage: Eukaryota; Metazoa; Arthropoda; Insecta; Diptera; Glossinidae
Exons: 3
Source: RefSeq, a predicted model, not a curated record